Molecule: transfer RNA, 85 nt
Filed under: Felis catus (domestic cat)
Lineage: Eukaryota; Metazoa; Chordata; Mammalia; Carnivora; Felidae
Also listed under: 1 other name
Rfam family: tRNA
About the family: Transfer RNA (tRNA) molecules are approximately 80 nucleotides in length.
Source: Rfam by way of RNAcentral
GCCUGGGUGGCUCAGUCGGUUGAGCGUCUGACUUCAGCUCAGGUCAUGAUCUCAUGGUCUGUGAGUUCGAGCCCCACGUCGGGCU